RNAcentral lists this ribosomal RNA (455 nucleotides) under uncultured bacterium. Its description in RNAcentral is "SSU rRNA". It matches the Rfam family "Bacterial small subunit ribosomal RNA", at positions 26 to 518 of the family's 1533-position model. The record is from RNAcentral.
AGAAUCAACGCUGGCGGCGUGCCUAACACAUGCAAGUCGCACGAGAAAGGGUAGCAAUACCUGAGUACAGUGGCGCACGGGUGAGUAACACGUGAAUAAUCUACCUCCGAGUGGGGAAUAACUGAGAGAAAUCUUAGCUAAUACCGCAUAAUACCCACGGGUCAAAGCAGCAAUGCGCUUGGAGAGGAGUUCGCGGCAGAUUAGUUAGUUGGCGGGGUAAUGGCCCACCAAGACGAUGAUCUGUAUCCGGCCUGAGAGGGCGCACGGACACACUGGAACUGAAACACGGUCCAGACUCCUACGGGAGGCAGCAGUGGGGAAUUUUGCGCAAUGGGGAAACCCUGACGCAGCAACGCCGCGUGGAGGAUGAAGCCCUUGGGUGUAAACUCUUUCGAUCGGGAAGAUAAUGACGGUACCGAUAUAAGAAGCCCGGCUAACUUCGUGCCAGCAGCCGC